Molecule: ribosomal RNA, 300 nt
Filed under: Rupestrella occulta gibilfunnensis
Lineage: Eukaryota; Metazoa; Mollusca; Gastropoda; Stylommatophora; Chondrinidae
Description: partial 16S ribosomal RNA
Source: RNAcentral
AUAAUCACUUGGCCUUUAAUUGGGGUCUAGAAUGAAAGAGAGAACGGAGACUAACUGUCUUACUUAAAUUAAUAAGAACUUAUAGUGCAGGUGAAAAUACUUGCAAUCUCAUAAAAAAGACGAGAAGACCCUUAGAAUUUUAAAGAAAUUUUAUAAGACUUAAUAUAAAAAUUAUUUUUGUUGGGGCAACAUAGUAGCAUACAAGAGUUCUAUCUAAAGUUUCUAAAUCUACAUGUAUAUCUAAUUAUAAGAUUGGCCGAUUUAAUAAUAAGUAAAAUUAAAUUACCUUAGGGAUAACAG